UGAAUUUACAAUGUAUACAUGCAAAUUACAAGUGUUUACUGCUCGCUUCCUUGAUAGUUGAUUUUGGAUAAAUAGUGCAUAAAUAGGCUUACAUAAUUUUAUAUCUGAAUUAAAUGUUAUUUUUUUUAUCAUUUUUGUUUAUUUUUUUUGUAGUAGGUAACUGACGGACGUGAGAUUAAAUGGGCCUUGAUCUCCAGUGAGUGGUUUUAUCUGGAUUUGAAUAUGCGCUGGGGUUACAAACCAAAGCCAAGUUGCUACAUUAACAUUUGGAAAAAUAUAGAGAAUGAAUUGAUAAAUGAUAUUUCCAGUAGUAAAAUCUGGAAAAAUGCUCCUUUAUCAUGAUUGCGCGGUUUUUUCAAUACACGUAGGUACCAGUAAAAAAAAAUCGAUGAUUUCUUAGAGCAAACAAAAAUAUACUGGUGUCUAAUUUUGCGUAUUACGAAACUUGCAGUUCAAGGGUCAUAGUUAAGAGAUAAAAGCACGAAUAAAUGUUAAUACACUAUCAAAAUAGUAUCCACCUCAACUGAACAUUCUGUAACGCAGGUUGUGUGAACUCGUUAUCCAUUCGUCAAAUUACGAUAACAACAUGGUUUUUAACCGCAGCAGCUUGCUCCUUCUUCUCCUGACAACCUUUGUAGCAACGGUUGUUUGUGAAUGCACUUCAGAGAAUAUUGAAAGUAAAAGUUUGGAUCAAAUGGUGAAACCGCCAAGAACGAUGUGAAUGCAUUCCUCAAGAAACUGCUGACAAGUUAUAAAGAUCUGGGCCUAGAGGCUAAAGUGAAGUUGGCUGCAAUCUCCAAAGCAAUGCAGGAGCAGAUGAAGCAAAUAGUGGAUAUCACUAAGCUUGAUACAAAAAAGAUCGACAAAGUCACGAACUUGCUUGGAUAACAUGCGUCAAAAACUAUGAGCAGACUUCACUUCGUAAAAAGGAAAUAUUAGUUCUGGUUUAUCGAUAAAAACACUUAUCUGUUCUGGAAAACUAAAGGCACAAAGCGAUGGCUGAGGAAUAAGACCACGUAACUGACGAUUUCGGCGAAAAUGAGUUAGUGACGGGGCCUCAUCCCAAGUAGCAAAAUAGAAUUUUUUUCUAGAAAAAAAAUAUUAAGAAAACUUCUAGAAAAUACCAAGAAAAUGAGAGUUAUCUAGAAAAUAGAAAGAAAAAACAUUGCAAGUCAAAAGUCUGACCAAAGAAAAUAGAUCUAUUUCAUAAGUCUACUUUCUGUCAACUUUCCGUUUGGAAAAAAGAUAGAAAAUUAAUUGAAAGUAGAAUUAUUUUCUAGCCAAUUUCUGAAUGUUUUCUUCUAAGAAAAUGUAAGGAAAAAAUGUAUUUUCUUUCUAUUUUCUUGCGUCUAUUUUCUAGAUCUACUUUAUACCUAUUUUCUUUCAAGAAAAUUGUUCUAUCUAGAAAGUAGACAUUUUCUUGAUGAGCGCCACCUAGAAAGUAGAUGACAAGGCUACUUGGGUAGGUAUAAAAUUGGCAAGCUGAUAUUUUUAUUUUUCCCUUUUGCUCCUGGGCGAUCGAUAAGUUGUUUUGAAAUGAGUCAGAGAUAGGUAUUAAUUC
RNAcentral lists this long non-coding RNA (1561 nucleotides) under Bemisia tabaci. Its description in RNAcentral is "lncRNA ENSSSA2NGG008462". The record is from RNAcentral. Lineage: Eukaryota; Metazoa; Arthropoda; Insecta; Hemiptera; Aleyrodidae.